CAACAAAAUUUAAAUACGUAAGAAUCAAUAAAUAAUAUUGAAAAUUUGAAAUCCCAUAGAACUGGGCAAAAAAUCGGACUGAAUACUCGAACCGUAAUUAUUCCGAAAAUUGGACUUGAAUUCGAAUCGGAAAAUUCA
Molecule: small RNA, 138 nt
Filed under: Arabidopsis thaliana (thale cress)
Lineage: Eukaryota; Viridiplantae; Streptophyta; Magnoliopsida; Brassicales; Brassicaceae
Description: ATSL147820
Source: RNAcentral